Molecule: ribosomal RNA, 449 nt
Filed under: uncultured copper smeltery bacterium D64
Lineage: Bacteria
Description: bacterial SSU rRNA
Rfam family: Bacterial small subunit ribosomal RNA
Source: RNAcentral
GCCCUUAGAGUUUGAUCAUGGCUCAGAACGAACGCUGGCGGCAUGCCUAACACAUGCAAGUCGAACGAGACCUUUCGGGUCUAGUGGCGCACGGGUGCGUAACGCGUGGGAAUCUGCCCUCUGGUACGGAAUAACUCAGGGAAACUUGAGCUAAUACCGUAUAAUGACUUCGGUCCAAAGAUUUAUCGCCUGAGGAUGAGCCCGCGUCGGAUUAGCUAGUUGGUGAGGUAAAGGCUCACCAAGGCGACGAUCCGUAGCUGGUCUGAGAGGAUGAUCAGCCACACUGGGACUGAGACACGGCCCAGACUCCUACGGGAGGCAGCAGUGGGGAAUAUUGGACAAUGGGGGAAACCCUGAUCCAGCAAUGCCGCGUGAGUGAUGAAGGCCUUAGGGUUGUAAAGCUCUUUUACCCGGGAUGAUAAUGACAGACCGGAGAAUAAGCCCAAAAG